This 427-nucleotide ribosomal RNA is filed under the name uncultured bacterium. RNAcentral's name for it is "bacterial SSU rRNA". It matches the Rfam family "Bacterial small subunit ribosomal RNA", at positions 355 to 774 of the family's 1533-position model. The record is from RNAcentral.
UAGGGAAUAUUGGACAAUGGGGGCAACCCUGAUCCAGCCAUGCCGCGUGAGUGAAGAAGGCCCUCGGGUUGUAAAGCUCUUUUGUCCGGAAAGAAAAGCAUUCGGUGAAUACCCGGAUGUUCUGACGGUACCGGAAGAAUAAGCACCGGCUAACUUCGUGCCAGCAGCCGCGGUAAUACGAAGGGUGCAAGCGUUACUCGGAAUUACUGGGCGUAAAGCGUGCGUAGGGGGUUGUUUAAGUCUGAUGUGAAAGCCCUGGGCUCAACCUGGGAAUGGCAUUGGAAACUGGGCAGCUAGAGUGCGGUAGAGGGUAGUGGAAUUCCCGGUGUAGCAGUGAAAUGCGUAGAGAUCGGGAGGAACAUCUGUGGCGAAGGCGACUGCCUGGACCAGCACUGACACUGAGGCACGAAAGCGUGGGGAGCAAACA